RNAcentral lists this small nuclear RNA (94 nucleotides) under Marchantia polymorpha subsp. ruderalis. Lineage: Eukaryota; Viridiplantae; Streptophyta; Marchantiopsida; Marchantiales; Marchantiaceae. The record is from RNAcentral.
CAUCCCUUCCGGAUAAUAUUGGAACGAUACAGAGAAUAUUAGAUGGCCCCUGCGCAAGGAUGACAUGUCAUGGCUCGAGACGUUGGGUCGAUUU